This is a long non-coding RNA of Macrobrachium nipponense, 425 nucleotides long. RefSeq lists it as uncharacterized. The record is from RefSeq and is a predicted model, not a curated record. NCBI's taxonomy places the organism in Eukaryota, Metazoa, Arthropoda, Malacostraca, Decapoda, Palaemonidae. The transcript is spliced from 3 exons.
AGUAAAAGACGAAGGAUUCGAACGUAGGUCGAGAAAGACACCGUCUGCUGAGUUAACAGACGUUCGGUCUAUUUAUUUCUGAAUUGGGUGUAGGUUGACAAGAAAAUGUGGUUUGAGAUUCUCCCCAGUGUGGCCAUUAUUACAGGAUUGCUGGGUGUACCAGCCCUAGCCAUGGCUGGUUUACAUAAACUCGCCUAUGGGAAUUUUUAUCAGAGAGAGUUGAGUCGCAGGAACCAACGUGGCUUUUUCCUCAGAGAUGAGCGACUCAGUGGCUAUGGAUACAGGAGUGUUGGGUUGGAGAAUAUUCCAGAUGAAGCUGCCGAGUAGACAGUUGAUUGUUUAGCUGUGGAUCAGAUUGGUGUAAAUAUACAAUGUUAAUUUAAUCUUCUGUAUUAAAUUUUUCUUAAUAAAUUAGUUUUUAAAAA